GAACCUUACCUAAGCUUGACAUCCCAAUGACAUCUCCUUAAUCGGAGAGUUCUCUUCGGGGACAUUGGUGACAGGUGGUGCAUGGUUGUCGUCAGCUCGUGUCGUGAGAUGUUGGGUUAAGUCCCUCAACGAGCGCAACCCUUGUCUUUAGUUGCCAUCAUUAAGUUGGGCACUCUAGAGAGACUGCCAGGGAUAACCUGGAGGAAGGUGGGGAUGACGUCAAAUCAUCAUGCCCCUUAUGCUUAGGGCUACACACGUGCUACAAUGGGUAGUACAGAGGGUUGCCAAGCCGUAAGGUGGAGCUAAUCCCUUAAAGCUACUCUCAGUUCGGAUUGUAGGCUGAAACUCGCCUACAUGAAGCUGGAGUUACUAGUAAUCGCAGAUCAGAAUGCUGCGGUGAAUGCGUUCCCGGGUCUUGUACACACCGCCCGUCACACCACGGGAGUUGGAGACGCCCGAAGCCGAUUAUCUAACCUUUUGGAAGAAGUCGUCGAAGGUGGAAUCAAUAACUGGGGUGAAGUCGUAACAAGGUAGCCGUAUCGGAAGGUGCGGCUGGAUCACCUCCUUUCUAAGGA
This 575-nucleotide ribosomal RNA is filed under the name Clostridioides difficile. Its description in RNAcentral is "bacterial SSU rRNA". It matches the Rfam family "Bacterial small subunit ribosomal RNA", at positions 966 to 1533 of the family's 1533-position model. Lineage: Bacteria; Bacillati; Bacillota; Clostridia; Peptostreptococcales; Peptostreptococcaceae. The record is from RNAcentral.